AAAAUUUUUCCCUCCACUAAACCGAACAAUCAAAUGGCGUUGGGAAAACGCAUUCCUAAAGUUUUUCCUAUAAUAAAGUGGCUCGCAACAAAACACUUCCGGAGAGUUCGGAAAUAAACAUUCGAUCGUUUGCCGGUGAGAAAUUCGUAGUAGCUCGUUGUUUUGAUCCGAGAAUAAUCGAUUUUAUCACGAUGUAAUUUGGGGGAAAUGAAAGAUACAAGUGCUUACUAAACUGUCAUGAAAGCUACCUAACUUUUAAUUGUUUGUUGAGGGUUUUGUAUUGGUUCUAAAUGCUGAAUUCAAGUCGUAUAAAACCUUUCGUCAAAGCGAGCGUUCCAACUCAUAAAAUUUGCAACUAUUUCGGGUAUUCUUUUAUUAUAAAAUGGAAGACAACGGUGGGAUUUUAAGCGAUAGUCAUGAAGACGGAUUACAAGCAAGGAGUAAUUCGUUUAACGAGCUUCUUUAUCGACUUGAGCAACAAAACAGG
Molecule: non-coding RNA, 487 nt
Organism: Paramuricea clavata
Lineage: Eukaryota; Metazoa; Cnidaria; Anthozoa; Malacalcyonacea; Plexauridae
Source: the annotation of a GenBank genome assembly